Stegodyphus mimosarum is the source of this 73-nucleotide non-coding RNA. The record is from Rfam. Lineage: Eukaryota; Metazoa; Arthropoda; Arachnida; Araneae; Eresidae.
GCCUUCGUGGUGUAGCGGUCAGCACGCUCGACGCGUAACCGAGAGGUCCGUGGUUCGAUUCCCGGCGAAGGUG